AUGCAUGAGCUCCACAGGAGCAAUUUCAACUCUUUUGGUUGCCUUAAUUCCUCCAUCAUCACUUUGCUGCCCAAGAAAGAGUGCUCCCUACAAGUGGUUGAUUUUACGCCGAUCAACUUAAUUCAUGGGGCUGCUAAAAUCUUUGCUAAAGUCUUGGUUGUGCGUCUUGCCCCCCUGCUACCAACUCUCAUCUCACAAGCCCAGAGUGCGUUCACCACCCAGAGGAGCAUACAUGAGAACUUUAAAUUUGUUCGCAACGCGGCCAGACUACUACAUCGAAAGAAGUCCCCGGCUAUACUUAUGAAGCUGGAUAUUUCCAAAGCUUUUGAUACUUUGUCAUGGGAAAUUCAUCAUACAUAUUCAGACAAGGCGAGGCUUUGGCAGACGCUGGUGUUCUUGGGUUUGUGGUCUACUCCGAACAGCGUCGUCAUCAGUGUUGGUCAAUGGUGA
This 450-nucleotide ribosomal RNA is filed under the name Triticum aestivum (bread wheat). Its description in RNAcentral is "partial small subunit ribosomal RNA". Lineage: Eukaryota; Viridiplantae; Streptophyta; Magnoliopsida; Poales; Poaceae. The record is from RNAcentral.